AUUGAACGCUGGCGGCAUGCUUUACACAUGCAAGUCGGACGGCAGCACAGAGAAGCUUGCUUCUUGGGUGGCGAGUGGCGCACGGGUGAGUAACAUAUCGGAACGUACCGAGCAGUGGGGGAUAACUAAUCGAAAGAUUAGCUAAUACCGCAUAUCUUCUGAGGAAGAAAGCAGGGGACCAUUUGGCCUUGCGCUGUUUGAGCGGCCGAUAUCUGAUUAGCUAGUUGGUGGGGUAAAGGCCUACCAAGGCGACGAUCAGUAGCGGGUCUGAGAGGAUGAUCCGCCACACUGGGACUGAGACACGGCCCAGACUCCUACGGGAGGCAGCAGUGGGGAAUUUUGGACAAAGGGCGCAAGCCUGAUCCAGCCAUGCCGCGUGUCUGAAGAAGGCCUUCGGGUUGUAAAGGACUUUUGUCAGGGAAGAAAAGGGCGGGGUUAAUACCCCUGUCUGAUGACGGUACCUGAAGAAUAAGCACCGGCUAACUACGUG
Molecule: ribosomal RNA, 490 nt
Filed under: uncultured bacterium
Lineage: Bacteria
Description: partial 16S ribosomal RNA
Rfam family: Bacterial small subunit ribosomal RNA
Source: RNAcentral